RNAcentral lists this ribosomal RNA (306 nucleotides) under uncultured bacterium. RNAcentral describes it as "partial 16S ribosomal RNA". It matches the Rfam family "Bacterial small subunit ribosomal RNA", at positions 507 to 809 of the family's 1533-position model. The record is from RNAcentral.
GACAGCAGCCGCCGGGUAAUACGGAGGGGGCUAGCGUUGUUCGGAAUUACUGGGCGUAAAGCGCACGUAGGCGGCUUGGUAAGUUAGAGGUGAAAGCCUGGAGCUCAACUCCAGAAUUGCCUUUAAGACUGCCGAGCUAGCAGGUGAGAGAGGUAAGUGGAAUUCCGAGUGUAGAGGUGAAAUUCGUAGAUAUUCGGAAGAACACCAGUGGCAAAGGCGGCUUACUGGCUCAUACUGGACGCUGAGGUGCGAGAGCGUGGGGAGCAAACAGGAUUAGAGACCCAGUAGUCCCUGUCUCUUAUACAC